GGACAACUUCCCUGCUACGCUGAUUCCAUAACGACGACGGCUUCCUAUAAAAACUUCGGUUGUCAAUUGUUUUUCAGCACACUCGUUCCAGCCAGCUACCAAGAAUGUCGUACAUCAAAAUUGUUGCCCUGGUUAUGCUUGCUGUCGUCGUUUUGGCCGAUGCCUAUCCCGCAGAGAAUCCUCGUCUUGUCGUAAGCAAUGGACAGAUGGAAGCACCCCAAAAUGUGCGUGUCACUCGUGACGACAAGUUUCUAUCACCUUCUGCAGGAGGCAAAGGCUACAAAGGGCAUGUUGGACCUGUCUACACCUUUGUCAAAACCGAUCCUAAAGCCAAUUUCAAAUGGGGAGUCCGCCACCGUGCUGGUGUCCAGUACAGUGGCUAGAAAUCUAAUGAUUGCAUUACAUUAAUUUCACAUUUUCGUCUUUCCAACAUUCGCAUUUGACGCAUGUUGAUACUAGUUCACUCAUUAACCUUGUUAUCCCGUAUUUAUUUGAAAUUUCGAAUCAAUUAUUUAAUAAAUGUGGUCUUCAAAA
Daphnia pulex (common water flea) is the source of this 534-nucleotide long non-coding RNA. RefSeq lists it as uncharacterized. Lineage: Eukaryota; Metazoa; Arthropoda; Branchiopoda; Diplostraca; Daphniidae. The transcript is spliced from 3 exons. The record is from RefSeq and is a predicted model, not a curated record.